CACUUAGAUGUUCUGGGCCGCACGCGUGCUACACUGAGUAAUUCAAUGGGUAAGGGAACGCUAGAGCAUUACCUAAUCUUGAAAUUUGCUCGUGAUGGGGAUCGACGGUUGCAAUUUUCCGUCGUGAACGAGGAAUACCUUGUAGGCGCAUGUCAUCAUCAUGCGCCGAAUACGUCCCUGCCCUUUGUACACACCGCCCGUCGCUCCUACCGAUUGAGUGAUCCGGUGAGGCUCUGGGACCUGGACGGAAAGAGCGUUUCGCUUGUUCUGUUUGGGAAACUUGGUCGAACCUUAUCAUUUAGAGGAAGGAGAAGUCGUAACA
This 322-nucleotide ribosomal RNA is filed under the name uncultured eukaryote. RNAcentral describes it as "partial 18S ribosomal RNA". It matches the Rfam family "Eukaryotic small subunit ribosomal RNA", at positions 1470 to 1796 of the family's 1831-position model. The record is from RNAcentral.